GUGAAAUUCCGUCGGAAUCCGGGAGGACCAUCUCCCAAGGCUAAAUACUCCCUAGUGACCGAUAGUGAACCAGUACCGUGAGGGAAAGGUGAAAAGCACCCCGGAAGGGGAGUGAAACAGUUCCUGAAACCGUGUGCCUACAAGUAGUUAGAGCCCGUUAAUGGGUGAUAGCGUGCCUUUUGUAGAAUGAACCGGCGAGUUACGAUUUGUUGCAAGGUUAAGCGGAAAAAGCGGAGCCGUAGCGAAAGCGAGUCUGAAUAGGGCGCAUAAGUAACAGGUCGUAGACCCGAAACCAGGUGAUCUACCCAUGUCCAGGAUGAAGGUAAGGUAAUACUUACUGGAGGUCCGAACCCACGCACGUUGAAAAGUGCGGGGAUGAGGUGUGGGUAGCGGAGAAAUUCCAAUCGAACUUGGAGAUAGCUGGUUCUCUCCGAAAUAGCUUUAGGGCUAGCCUCGAGGUAAAGAGUCAUGGAGGUAGAGCACUGUUUGGACUAGGGGCCCUUCUCGGGUUACCGAAUUCAGAUAAACUCCGAAUGCCAUGUACUUAUACUCGGGAGUCAGACUGCGAGUGAUAAGAUCCGUAGUCGAAAGGGAAACAGCCCAGACCACCAGUUAAGGUCCCCAAAUAUAUGUUAAGUGGAAAAGGAUGUGGGGUUGCUUAGACAACCAGGAUGUUGGCUUAGAAGCAGCCACCAUUGAAAGAGUGCGUAAUAGCUCACUGGUCGAGUGACCCCGCGCCGAAAAUGUACCGGGGCUAAACAUAUUACCGAAACUGUGGAUGAACCUCUUUAGAGGUUCGUGGUAGGAGAGCGUUCUAAGGGCGGUGAAGUCAGACCGGAAGGACUGGUGGAGCGCUUAGAAGUGAGAAUGCCGGUAUGAGUAGCGAAAGAAGGGUGAGAAUCCCUUCCACCGAAUAUCUAAGGUUUCCUGAGGAAGGCUCGUCCGCUC
Molecule: ribosomal RNA, 948 nt
Filed under: Listeria monocytogenes
Lineage: Bacteria; Bacillati; Bacillota; Bacilli; Caryophanales; Listeriaceae
Description: partial 23S ribosomal RNA
Rfam family: Bacterial large subunit ribosomal RNA
Source: RNAcentral